Molecule: ribosomal RNA, 407 nt
Filed under: uncultured Blastococcus sp.
Lineage: Bacteria; Bacillati; Actinomycetota; Actinomycetes; Geodermatophilales; Geodermatophilaceae
Description: bacterial SSU rRNA
Rfam family: Bacterial small subunit ribosomal RNA
Source: RNAcentral
UGGGGAAUAUUGCGCAAUGGGCGAAAGCCUGACGCAGCGACGCCGCGUGGGGGAUGACGGCCUUCGGGUUGUAAACCUCUUUCAGCAGGGACGAAGCGAAAGUGACGGUACCUGCAGAAGAAGCACCGGCCAACUACGUGCCAGCAGCCGCGGUAAUACGUAGGGUGCAAGCGUUGUCCGGAAUUAUUGGGCGUAAAGAGCUCGUAGGCGGUCUGUCACGUCGGCUGUGAAAUCCCGAGGCUCAACCUCGGGUCUGCAGUCGAUACGGGCAAACUAGAGUAUUGCAGGGGAGACUGGAAUUCCUGGUGUAGCGGUGAAAUGCGCAGAUAUCAGGAGGAACACCGGUGGCGAAGGCGGGUCUCUGGGCAAUAACUGACGCUGAGGAGCGAAAGCGUGGGGAGCGAACA